CCCAGUGGAAGGUGGAAGGUGACAGGGUUGUUCAGGAAGAUGCAAAGCAGCUCAGUCCUGACUUAGUUGGAGACUGGUGUCUACCAGAUAUCUGCUGUCCACACAAGCUACAGCUAUGCAGAGAGGCCGGGUGAAGAAGUUGCGAUGCCAAGAGACUGGGAAAUAUGUUUAAGUUCACUUAGCUAGCACAGUCGGGCCUCUGUAUCCGCGGUUCCAUAUCCGCAGAUUCAACCAACUAAGGAUUGAAAAGAUGUGAAAAAGAACAAUAAAAAAUGACAUAAAAUAAUACAAACAAGAAACCAUUGCAGUAUAAUAACUAUUUACCUAGCAUUUACACUGUAUUAGGUAAUCUAGAGAGGAUUUUUAAGGCAUAUGGGAGGACAGGUAUAGGUUAUAUGCAGAUACUACAUCAUUUUAUAUAAGGGACUUGAGUAUUUGAGGAUUUUGGUAUCCUGGGGGCAGAGGGAUGUCCUGGGACCAAUACCCUGGGAUAAUGAGGGAUGACUAUUUGUACUUUGCAGCAAGGACACAGAGCAUAAUGAAAAAGAUGCACACUUUGGGAGGCUGAGGCAGGUGGAUCACUCGAGGCCAGGAGUUCAAGACCAGCCUGGCCAACAUGAUG
Molecule: long non-coding RNA, 622 nt
Organism: Rhinopithecus roxellana (golden snub-nosed monkey)
Lineage: Eukaryota; Metazoa; Chordata; Mammalia; Primates; Cercopithecidae
Exons: 3
Source: RefSeq, a predicted model, not a curated record